This is a long non-coding RNA of Chinchilla lanigera (long-tailed chinchilla), 1907 nucleotides long. The record is from Ensembl. NCBI's taxonomy places the organism in Eukaryota, Metazoa, Chordata, Mammalia, Rodentia, Chinchillidae.
UUUAACUAAUGCUUCUUUAAAAUUGUUUUUAUUCCAGCUUGAGGAUUUACUGCCUUUAAAGUCAGAAAAAUAUGAAUAAAAUAUGAUGUAUUGAGCCUGCAAAUAAUAGGAAUAAGAAUAGUCCUGAUGUAAGAAAUAAAGGAUUUAAUUAUCAAUGAUGUGUAAUAGAAGUCUUAUAUAAAAUUCAUCAGCCUACUGGAAAAAAUGAUUGGUAUCCUUCAAAGGAAAUUGAAGGAGUCUUGUGGCUGUGGUCUAGUAGCAAUAAUAAUCUAGUGACAGAUGUUGGAGAAAACCAGGCCUGGGAGUUGUCACCUCACUGUCUCUCUCUCUCUGGUGUGGCUGUCUCUGAUGUUGUCAUCAAGGUAUUCAGUGACGUGAAGGUGCACAAAUCCUCAGUACUGGAGGAAGUGAAGAAGGCAAUGCUCCUCUACCUGAGUGAGGACCAGAAGAGCAUCCUCCGGGAGGAAGGCAAGGAACAGAUCAAGUUGCUCUCAGGGAGGAGGCCAAGGGAGGUUUCCACAGAAAAGAAGACAAACCAUUGGAGUAUGACUGGAGUAACACAGCUGCUAACCAUGGAAUACCAGAAGCCAUCAGAAGUUACAAGCUGUCAAACAGACUCGCCCCUUGCACCUGCGGAAGGAGUGUGGCCCUGCCUUCAUCUUGAUUUUCAGUUUUCUAAAAUUCACUCUGGACUUCUAGCUCCAGAAUACAAGAGAGUAAGUUCAUGUUUUCCCUUUCUUUUUUUUUUUUUAAAGAUAAAUAAAACUCUUAAUUAAGCAAAGUAUCAGUACACACUUACAAAAGAAAACAGUUCAAAAUACCACAGAACACAUGAAAAGAUAAUCCACAUCAUUAUAGUUAAAGGAUCUGAAUAGACUUUUCUCCAUAGGAGAUUACAGAUGGCCAGUAAACACAGGAAAAUCUUUCAGCAUCAUGAACCACUAGUGAAAAGCACGUCAAAAUCACAGCUGUUUACCCUUUACACUCAUCAGAAUGUUUGUGAUAAAAAGAUGAAAUAAAUAUGAGUGAUGAUGUGGAGAAAUAAGAGCAUUUAUACACUGUUGGAAAGAGUAAAAUAUGAAGUCACUUUGUAAAACUGGAAGAUGCUGAACGUUUUAAAUAUAGAGUUACUAUAUGACCCAUAAAUUCCAUUUUUAGGUGCAUAGGUAAGAGAAAUGAAAACCCAUGUUCAUAUGAAGAGCCGUGCACAAAUGUUUAUAUAGCCGUUGUACUCAUAAUAACCAAAGCGUGGAGAUGAGACAAAGGUGCAAAAACUAAUCAGUGCACAGACUCUGUGUCAUGUGAUUUUAUUUGUCAGUACAGAAGAAUGAAGAAAUUAUACACACUGCAGUAUAGAUGCAUCUUGGAAGACAUGCUAAGCAAAAUCAAAUUUUUACUUUCCUAAGCCAACCGAUUUGUGGUGAUUUGUUAUAGCACAUGUAGGAAAUGAACACAAUGUUAUUGUGGUAUAGUAUUUUAUUUUCAGUAUUUUUCUUAAUUUAUUUGAAAGUUUACAUUCAGUAAAAUUUGCUCUCUUGGGGGUCCAGCUUUAUGAGUACUGACAACUAUUACUCGUGGAACCACCAUCAUUAUGAAGAAAUGGAGCAAUUUCAUCACCUCUCAUUCUCUCCCCUCACCCCCUCCCCAGUUUUCCUGCUACUACUUUUCAGGCUCUCCCUGUACUCUUAAUUCCUGGAAAUCUCAGAACAGUUCAUCACUUUAUUUCUGAAUUUUCCAGAAUUCCAUAUAAAUUGAGUCAUUCAAUAUGUAGGUUUUGAGUCUGUCUCCUUUUAUUUCAUAUAAUACAGGUGAAAUUUAUCCCAUGUUUUUGCAGGUAUUAAUAGUUCAUUCCUUUUUAUUCCUGUAUACUAUUCCAUUUCAUGUAUGUACCACAGUUUAUUUAUUUC